This is a long non-coding RNA of Mustela erminea (ermine), 478 nucleotides long. RefSeq lists it as uncharacterized. NCBI's taxonomy places the organism in Eukaryota, Metazoa, Chordata, Mammalia, Carnivora, Mustelidae. The record is from RefSeq and is a predicted model, not a curated record. The transcript is spliced from 4 exons.
UAAAUAACAAAUGUUUAAUUUUCAGUUCUGGAGGCUGGGGAAGUUCAAGAUCAAGGCACUGACAGAUCCUGUGGAAGCACAGUCUUGGUGUCUUUUUGAUCCAGCAAAUAUGCAUCUAAAGCUUUCCUUCUCACAUGAAGGCCAGAAGCUUUUUACAGUGCAGAAACCAAUCUAAGUUCCAUAACAACAGUGAAGGAGAGAGGAACAGAACAGUUGGUGUUUCCUCUGAGCAUGUGCAUCUCCUAAGUGGUGAAGGAUCUUGCAGGCCCAAGGCGACAGUUCUGCGCUUGAGGCUGAAGUGAGUGGAGGCUGUGUCUGAAUUCAGUAUCCUGCUUUCUUACGAGGAACCCAGCCUUCCCAAACCGACUAACAGCUAUUCUGCUACUUGCGCUUUUGUGUGUGUGUGUGUGUGUGUGUGUUUCUUAUGUGCCAGAGCAAGCACCUCAUACGCAUUUUAUAAUCUAAUUCUCAGAACAAA